AAACGGCCUGAUCGAAGCUGGGGUCUUGGGAAUACCUCCAUGACCUUAGUCAAAUACAUGGCCCAGAGAAAAUUACUUAUCGACGGUCAUUGGGCGUUCGAUUUCCAUGACGCAUCAAUAACAUAUUUGAUAAGUUACAAAU
Molecule: small nucleolar RNA, 142 nt
Organism: Ochlerotatus camptorhynchus
Lineage: Eukaryota; Metazoa; Arthropoda; Insecta; Diptera; Culicidae
Source: RefSeq, a predicted model, not a curated record